This 95-nucleotide ribosomal RNA is filed under the name Phialocephala fortinii. RNAcentral's name for it is "partial 5.8S ribosomal RNA". It matches the Rfam family "5.8S ribosomal RNA", at positions 63 to 154 of the family's 154-position model. Rfam says of the family: 5.8S ribosomal RNA (5.8S rRNA) is a component of the large subunit of the eukaryotic ribosome. It is transcribed by RNA polymerase I as part of the 45S precursor that also contains 18S and 28S rRNA. Functionally, it is thought that 5.8S rRNA may be involved in ribosome translocation. The record is from RNAcentral. Lineage: Eukaryota; Fungi; Ascomycota; Leotiomycetes; Helotiales; Mollisiaceae.
UAAUGUGAAUUGCAGAAUUCAGUGAAUCAUCGAAUCUUUGAACGCACAUUGCGCCCUGUGGUAUUCCGCAGGGCAUGCCUGUUCGAGCGUCAUUU